This 484-nucleotide ribosomal RNA is filed under the name uncultured bacterium. Its description in RNAcentral is "partial 16S ribosomal RNA". It matches the Rfam family "Bacterial small subunit ribosomal RNA", at positions 30 to 507 of the family's 1533-position model. The record is from RNAcentral.
AUUGAACGCUGGCGGCAGGCCUAACACAUGCAAGUCGAGCGGAUGAAGGGAGCUUGCGCCUGGAUUCAGCGGCGGACGGGUGAGUAAUGCCUAGGAAUCUGCCUGGUAGUGGGGGAUAACGUCCGGAAACGGGCGCUAAUACCGCAUACGUCCUGAGGGAGAAAGGGGGGGAUCUUCGGACCUCACGCUAUCAGAUGAGCCUAGGUCGGAUUAGCUAGUUGGUGGGGUAACGGCGUACCAAGGCGACGAUCCGUAACUGGUCUGAGAGGAUGAUCAGUCACACUGGAACUGAGACACGGUCCAGACUCCUACGGGAGGCAGCAGUGGGGAAUAUUGGACAAUGGGCGAAAGCCUGAUCCAGCCACGCCGCGUGUGUGAAGAAGGUCUUCGGAUUGUAAAGCACCUUAAGUUGGGAGGAAGGGCAGUAAGUUAAUACCUUGCUGUUUUGACGUUACCAACAGAAUAAGCACCGGCUAACUUCGUG